AAGUCGUAACAAGGUUUCCGUAGGUGAACCUGCGGAAGGAUCAUUACCAAAUAGUUGGCCGUUAACUCGGUCAUUAGUGCUUGCCAAUUCGGCUUGCAUAAACGCUUAAUUGUUUUAUUAUAUUGUGGGAUCUUAACAUAAAAACAACUUUUAACAAUGGAUCUCUAGGCUCUU
Molecule: unclassified non-coding RNA, 174 nt
Filed under: fungal sp.
Lineage: Eukaryota; Fungi
Description: partial internal transcribed spacer region
Rfam family: Eukaryotic small subunit ribosomal RNA (bases 1-46)
Source: RNAcentral